This 545-nucleotide small RNA is filed under the name Pan troglodytes (chimpanzee). RNAcentral's name for it is "retained intron". Lineage: Eukaryota; Metazoa; Chordata; Mammalia; Primates; Hominidae. The record is from RNAcentral.
CAAAGCUCCAGACCAGUGAACGAGCAAAUAAACUGGCUGCUCCCUCUGUUUCCCAUGUCAGUCCUAGGAAAAACCCUUCUGUGGUUAUAAAGCCAGAAGCAUGUUCUCCACAAUUUGGAAAAACAUCUUUUCCUACAAAGGAGUCUUUUAGUGCUAACAUGUCCCUUCCCCACCCCUGCCAGAUGGAGUCAGGAUACAAGCCUCUGGUGGGCAGAGAGGAUAGUAAGCCCCACAGUCUGAGAGGUGACUCCAUAAAACAAGAAGAGGCCCAGAAAAGCUUUGUUGACAGCUGGAGACAGAGAUCAAACACUCAAGGUACCAGAAUCCCUGCUUCUCCUGCAGGGGUCUGCAUGGCUCUGAGUGAUAUGCAGAAGAAUUGCCCAGGCCUCUGAGAACCGGUGCCCCGGGCAGUCCUUCAGAAAGUCCAGGGAAGUCAAAGUAUGUGGCUUAAGCAGAAGACUUUAUAAAGUGGAAAGGGCCAAGGGCAGGUAUGUCCCAGAGCCUUCCGCACCCACAGGCAUCUUCCUGGGGCUUAGUGGCAGCCU